GAGCAAGGUCAUUAAAUGUAGAAUGAUUGAACCCUGCAUUGAAGAUUGGUAGUAUGAAACAUAGGCGAUUCUCCACGCCUUUUGAGUACUGUACUCAUGUCGAUUAUGACCUCCAAAAAAUCGCUACAUA
Small nucleolar RNA from Beta vulgaris subsp. vulgaris (sugar beet), 130 nucleotides. NCBI's taxonomy places the organism in Eukaryota, Viridiplantae, Streptophyta, Magnoliopsida, Caryophyllales, Amaranthaceae. The record is from Rfam.